AGGGUCCAGCUGAAGCCAUUUAACUCUUUCCACUGGAGCCUGCUGAGUUUAACCUCUCCCACCUUUCAGCUCUGGGCCCAACAGUGAAGUUCCUGGAGGGAAGAAAACAGGCAAGAAGCAGCAAGAGGGUGAAACAAUAAAUGUUAACUCAAAGAAUGUGAAUUAUUUGGAAUUUCCUGUGGAAAAGCUUCAGACAUCUAACCUCAAGCCAGAAGAAAAUGCAUCGUGUGUUAAUCAGGCAGAACAAGGAAUAGGAAAACAGGAGCCUGGAUGCAAACAUUUCACAAACCUCAGUGGUGUGGAAACCAAGAAACAAAGAAACCUGCUGAGUGCAGUGGUGACUUUGGAUGAGGAUGAGCCCUGCCCACCAUUGCUCCUCACAACAGUGGUUCAGUCAAGCAGUUGGAGCCCUGACCACCCAGUGCUCCCAGCAAGGCUGUGCUCCCUGCAGGUGCCACCCCCUGCCAGCACCCAGAUGGCCAAGGAGAGAAUUGCUGGAGCUGUUGUGUUCCAUUCCCCACGUGAGGGGAGCUUGUCAGGCAGCACUGGCUGGAGCGAAGGCAAUGACUGCAUCUCCUGUGCUGGACUGAUGGAUGCACACUGCCAAAGAUUUCCAAAACAUAAAUAAUUCAGCUCAAUCCUUUCUAGGUGAGGGGGACGAAGUGCUGAAGGCCCA
Zonotrichia albicollis (white-throated sparrow) is the source of this 676-nucleotide long non-coding RNA. RefSeq lists it as uncharacterized. The record is from RefSeq and is a predicted model, not a curated record. NCBI's taxonomy places the organism in Eukaryota, Metazoa, Chordata, Aves, Passeriformes, Passerellidae.